RNAcentral lists this ribosomal RNA (219 nucleotides) under uncultured bacterium. RNAcentral describes it as "partial 16S ribosomal RNA". It matches the Rfam family "Bacterial small subunit ribosomal RNA", at positions 116 to 334 of the family's 1533-position model. The record is from RNAcentral.
CGUGAGGAACCUGCCUUUCAGAGGGGGACAACAGUUGGAAACGACUGCUAAUACCGCAUGACACAUAGAGAUCGCAUGGUUUUUAUUGUCAAAGAUUUAUCGCUGAAAGAUGGCCUCGCGUCUGAUUAGCUAGCUGGUGAGGUAACGGCCCACCAAGGCGACGAUCAGUAGCCGGACUGAGAGGUUGACCGGCCACAUUGGGACUGAGAUACGGCCCAG